RNAcentral lists this ribosomal RNA (434 nucleotides) under uncultured Anaerosporobacter sp. RNAcentral describes it as "bacterial SSU rRNA". It matches the Rfam family "Bacterial small subunit ribosomal RNA", at positions 341 to 792 of the family's 1533-position model. Lineage: Bacteria; Bacillati; Bacillota; Clostridia; Lachnospirales; Lachnospiraceae. The record is from RNAcentral.
ACGGGAGGCAGCAGUGGGGAAUAUUGCACAAUGGGGGAAACCCUGAUGCAGCGACGCCGCGUGAGUGAAGAAGUAUUUCGGUAUGUAAAGCUCUAUCAGCAGGGAAGAAAAUGACGGUACCUGACUAAGAAGCCCCGGCUAACUACGUGCCAGCAGCCGCGGUAAUACGUAGGGGGCAAGCGUUAUCCGGAAUUACUGGGUGUAAAGGGAGCGUAGGCGGCAGAGCAAGUCAGAAGUGAAAACCCAGGGCUCAACUUUGGGAUUGCUUUUGAAACUGUUUUGCUAGAGUGUCGGAGAGGUAAGUGGAAUUCCUAGUGUAGCGGUGAAAUGCGUAGAUAUUAGGAGGAACACCAGUGGCGAAGGCGACUUACUGGACGAUCACUGACGCUGAGGCUCGAAAGCGUGGGGAGCAAACAGGAUUAGAUACCCUGGUA